AUGGCUUUUUACCUGUGCCCCAGGACAGAUGAAUCUGCUUCUGGUCCUUCUGUCCUUUCCUACUGCAGUUUACUUCACUGGGGGUAGGGGUUCCCUCCAUUACCAUGUCUCAACCUGUCUUGCUGCUCUGUCUUUUGUUUUGCAGAAGCUGUUCAGUCAUCCUUCAGUUCUUCUUCAGGAGGAAGUGAUGUAUAAAUAGAGGUCUGGUCUGUCUGUGGAGGAGAUCCCCCUCACCCGUGGGCACCCUCAGAGUUCUGCAGACCUCAUCUCCACAAACUCCCACCCCACAGCAGAGAGCCAGUCUGAAUGCAGGCAAGGAAGAGACCAGAAACGAGAGAAAUUAACUACUUUCAAGUAGUUAAUGACUGGAGGAUGUGAGAGCUACUUCAGAUGUGAAGAUAGCAAGGCAGAAACUUCAAGGAAUAUGAAGAAAAUCAAGGAAACAUGAUACUGCCAAAGGAUCACAAUAAUCUAUCAGUAACUGAUCUCAAAGACAUGGAAAUGUGAUUUUCCCAAUAAAUAUUUCAAAGUAGCUGUGUUAAGGAAACCCAAAGAGCUACAAAAAACACAGAAACAUAUCUUGAUAUUAGGAAAACAGACAUGAACAAAAUCAAAAUUUCUCAGAGAAAUCAUAAAAAAGAACCAAACAUUCUGGAGCAGAAUAAUAUAAUAAAUGAAACAAAAAUGCACUAAAGAGCAUCAACAACACAAUGGAUUAAGCAGAAGAAAGAAUCUGUGAGUUAGAAGACAGAACUAUAAAUUAUCUGUUCAGAGAAGAAAAAGAGUGAAGUCUACAUGAAUCAUGGUGCAUCAUCAAACAAAACUAUAUUCACAUUAUGAAAAUCUCAGAAUGUGAAGACUGAGAAAAAGGGGCAGAAAGCCUAGUUAAAGAAAUAAUGCCUGAAAACUUCCAAAUCUGGAGAUUGUAUUAUCCAAGUUCAUAAAGCUCACAACUCUUGAGAUCAAGAGCUGAAGCAUACUCUACUGACAGAGCCAGCCAGGUACCUAC
Molecule: long non-coding RNA, 1009 nt
Organism: Mustela erminea (ermine)
Lineage: Eukaryota; Metazoa; Chordata; Mammalia; Carnivora; Mustelidae
Exons: 3
Source: RefSeq, a predicted model, not a curated record